AAAGUUUUAGUAUAAGAUAAGUAUAUUUCAUUGUCAAUGAUUGGGUUAAAACUUUA
Molecule: transfer RNA, 56 nt
Filed under: Bunostomum phlebotomum (cattle hookworm)
Lineage: Eukaryota; Metazoa; Nematoda; Chromadorea; Rhabditida; Ancylostomatidae
Description: tRNA-Asp
Source: RNAcentral